Molecule: RNA transcript, 9367 nt
Organism: Macrobrachium nipponense
Lineage: Eukaryota; Metazoa; Arthropoda; Malacostraca; Decapoda; Palaemonidae
Gene: Csp
Gene name: dnaJ homolog subfamily C member 5-like
Exons: 11
Source: RefSeq, a predicted model, not a curated record
UCAGAAUGAGCUCCUUUUCUCCACCCAGUCACAGGAGGAUUGUGUUGGUGUGUGUGUGUGUGUGCAAGUGCAGUGAGAGAUUUGAUACUGUGAAGGUUAUGGGCAUCCGUUAACCAGAGUCUGGAAAUGGAGUCUGAUCCUUUGUUAAAUCACAAGACGACAGGAGAUUCUCUGUAUGAGACUUUGGGACUACAGAAAGAGUCUACUACAGAGGAAAUCAAAAAGACGUAUAGGAAAUUAGCGUUAAAAUAUCACCCUGAUAAAAAUCCUAACAAUCCUGAAGCUGCUGAAAAGUUUAAAGAAAUAAAUUAUGCUCAUGGUAUUCUAAGCGAUUCCACGAAGAGAAACAUAUAUGACAACUAUGGCUCACUCGGUCUAUACAUUGCGGAGCAGUUUGGCGAAGAAAAUGUAAACACAUACUUCCUAGUGAACUCUGGAUGGUGUAAAGCACUGUUCCUGUUUUGUGGAAUUAUCACUGGAUGCUAUUUGUGUUGCUGCUUCUGUUGUUGCUGUAACUUCUGCUGUGGUAAAUGCAAGCCUAGGCCACCAGAUGAAACUGGGGACUAUCACAACUUGAAUACUGGGGCAGAGGAUUUGCCAGGGCAACGCGAGGCAGAAGGUACCACUCAGCCAGGGACUUCUCAAAACAAAGAGGACCUAGACGAUGAGGAGGUAGAUGGAGCUAAGCAGGCUGAUGAGCCCAUCAUUUCGCAACCACCACCUUCAACUAAUCCUUUCAGGCAACUUGGCAGUGAGGAAAAGAAAGAUUCCCAACCUACCACUAAUCCUUUCAGGGCCAAUGGUGAAAGUGGACCAGGGCAGCCUGUGUUUGGUAUGCCACCACCGCAGCCCUCACCUAACCCUACCAAUCCAUUUGCUGCUGCCGCCAAUGCAACGGAGAACACUUCCUUAAAUACUAGCAAUCUUCCUACCUACACACCAGUCACUGAGCCUUAAACAGUUAAGGUGAAGAGUUGCGGAGGACAAGGAACCAUAAAAAAAAUUGUUGGUGUUACAUAGGGAAUGUCACAGAAUGCAUCACCAAGUCAUGGUCAGUAUUAAAGAUUUACCUGAUCUCUUCGAAGGAAGCAUCUUUUUUAAUUAUUUUGAAAAUAUAAUUCUAAUACUUAGAUAUGAUUCCUCAGCAUUUCCAUGAUGAGUUUAAAUAAAGUGGUUUGCAAGACAGUUGCCAGGAUUCAAAGUUUGAACAGAAUUUCAGUGAGUUAUAUUUAGGAGAAAUUAUCUUUAUUUCUCUUUCUUGAAGAGCAUGAAAUUCUGGUCACAACUCGUUUAUGAAUGUAAUGUUAACAGUUCGUGUGAAUUUGUUAAAUGAAGCCACAAUAAUUUGUUGAAAGAUGUUACAUAUUUCUUGCAAAAGGGCAUUCGCUACUUUCAUAAUUGUGCAUGCGCAGACACACAUACACACACACACACACACACACAAACACACUUGUUUGAGUUUUUUUUUUUUUUUUAAGUUAAAUCUUUAAUACUCUCUUGAUCCCUUCAGUUACAGAGGCCAGAUAGUUGAAGCUUCUUUUUAAUAUAAUCAUAGUGAAGGAUAUUGAUUCAUCAGUUUUCUUUUUUGAGAGAGAAGCAAGGUCCCUCCAUAUGAAUUGGACCUGGUAAGGGUAGACCAUUGUUAAGAGACUUUGCAGAAUUGUCUGCUUCAGUUGAAGUAAUUAAAUUUUGUUUCACGUAGGAAAGGGGAUUUCUGUGAACUUUUGUUUUGAAGGCAGAUUUUUUUUAAUGCUUGCUGUUAAUCAUUAUUAGUGAAAAAGUACUGCCGAGUAACUUAGUCUUUAGUAUUGGUGUAUAACAAUAAUUGCCUUUGAUUUACAAUGUUAUUUGCUGUGUCAGCAUACAUAAGUAUUAAAUCUGCUUUUGUCAGAGGAGACUUUUUGUCUUAGUUUUAAGAAGAGUACUAAAGUUUUUUCUGUGAUGGAAUUGUAAAGACUAGUUUGGGUUUUACCUUAAGAGUUACAGAGAUUGGCAUGUUUAUAUUUACUUUCAUUGUUAUUGCAAAGCAUAUUUUUGUAUUUCACAAAUUUAACCUGUAGAUGUAGUUUAUUAAGACAGUCCAAAUUAUUCACAUCUUGUUUAUUGUUGAAAAUCAUAUCCUUAUACUGUAGUUUUGUGUCGAAGAUGUAACACGGUGAAGAGGUCCUGUUCGCAUUGGGAUCAUAAUCCAGUGUGACAUUUUAAAAUUUCAGCAUGAUUAAUUAGCUCUUUCUGGUUUUGAUGUUCAGUAGGUGGUAUGGAUUUUUUGUGUGUAAAGUGGGCUAUAAUGCCAUGAAACUGUCAUGAUUUAUGUGGGACCUGCUAGUGUGCUUUACCCUGCUUUUCAUUCUUCAAAGAAUUUUUGGCAGACUCAGUACAUCAGAUUUUCUAAGAUUUAAAAGAAUAUUUCAUUUGUAAGUUGCUGAUGUUGGUGAGAUUAUUGAUGUUUAAAUCCGAUUCUCUUUCAUCAGUGUGUUACCGGUAGGAAUUAGGAGUUUGUUGUUUUACAAACUUCAUUUUAACAGUUGUAGAUUUUUUCAUAUUAAAAAACAAGAUUUUUUAAUAAAUGGCCAUCUUAUUCCAGAGCUAGCAUCAUUGAUAGAGCCCAUGUUUUAAGACUUUCUUUUAUUGCUUAUUACAUUUUUUUUCCUGUACAGUAGUGCCAUGCAGGAUCCUAGGAUCCUAGGUUAUUGAGUAGAGUUCUCCUUCCUACCAUGGUCCCAGUCUUCUGCAAAGUGAAUUUUCAAAUUAAAAUGAAUAAAUUAUAGUUAUUCACAUAUAGCGUUAAUUUAAGGCUAUAGUGGAAAAAAAUCAUGAGAGUUUUAUUUGUUUGUUUUCUAACAGCCUACCUAGAUAAAGCACUAUUAUGAAAGCAAAUUACUUUGGGGAGAAAAAUAACUGAUCAUGAAUGUUGUCCCAUCAGUUUUUUGUAAUUUCUUUCAAGUUAGCAUUCCACUUGGCUUUGUACAAGUUUAUUAGUUUUUAGCCAGUCUUUACCCACAGCCAUUGUUAUUACUUUUGUUCCAUGUUGCAUUUGUUGAUUCCUUGAAAUGGGGUGGCUUAAUUUUCUUUAUAGGAUUUUUAUUUAGUGGUCACCAAAUGCAUUAAUAAUGUGUCUUGAUUUUAUUGACAUUCAGAUUCAGUAUUGUGUAUUUCCAAAAUUAAAAGUAGUUCUCUGAUUUUUGGAAAAUGCUUUUGUUUUCCUAAGUCUAAUCUGUCAAUUGAUGCAGUGAAAUUGCAAAUUACAUUGUAUUUUCAAUGUCUGUUUAUGAAUACCCCUUGCCCUCACCAUCACAGCUGUAUAUUUCUUACCUUAGAAACAUCACAGAUGUGUUAUUUUGUUGUUGUUUCUGGGUGUCUCUUGAUACCAUGAAAUUGUGUAAUUUAUUUAUUAAAUAUUAAUUCUUUGCCCAGGCUAUUAUUCAAGUAUUAAGUUAUUGUGCUGGUCAGUAAAAAUGGAAUGUAAAUUAUUUUGAGGUUAUUUUACGUUUGAUAAUUAUGGAUGUAUUACUAUAAUUUGAUACCUACAGUUCAAAGGCUUUGUUAAUGGAGUUGUGGAUGUGUUACACAUGUUAUUGUGUAAGUCUCAACCUGUGGUUGAUGAAAAGGUCGGAUUUACGUGGAAUGGGCAGUUUUUGUCAUCCGUAUAUCUGUUGAAAUUUGUUUAUGGGUAUCCAUCCAUUGUCUGCUCUGCAUGACAUGGCUCAUAAAUAUAUAAAUAUAGAAAAUAUCAGGUACAGUGUAGAAAAAUUAAAUGAAUGGGCAGUUAGAAACCAAGCCUAUCAGGUGUUAGGAGGUAAACGCUUAAAAGUAAUUUUUGUCAUUCCAACUAUUUUACAGACUGUCCUGUGAAUUUGUAAUCCUAAUGAUCAGUUUAGUGAAAUGGUGAUGGUAGACUUUAUCAUAGUUAAUCCCAAAUCUCAUGUUUAUCACAGAAACAUUUCACUUGUAAUGCUGUUAAUAUGCAAGUGCAGUAUUCGAAUGCUUAAAUUUUACCUAUUUUAUCAGUCUGAAAGGGAAGAGUUAUAGCUGUAGUCUCACUCAAAAAAGAUGAUCUAAGUCCAUUUUCUUUAUUAUGUAAAGUUUACCCAGAAGCUCGGUUUGAUCCUUGUAGGUGUUGAUUAGAUUUAUCUGACCCACAAUUCAACUUUGUAACCAUUGUAGGCAUUUCAUAUUUUGAGUGCAAUGCUGCUUUAACGUUUUCUUAGGAAAGUUUGGUUUUUUAAGGUAUUUUUCAAAAAAAUUCAAGUCAGUUUGUGGUAGCAAACUUCCUGCAAGAUGAAAUGUGUACAUUUUUGGAAAGGUUUGGACUUUGUUUCCUAAAACCACACUUUUAAGUUUACAGCUCAUGGUCACUGAUCCUUUACAGGUGAACACACACAAGCACAUCUUGUAAGUUAUUUGAUACAGCUCAAUACACAGUCAUUUGUACAAUAAUUCAUACAUAACUGUAUACAUACUAAGUAACUGAUGCAUGUGCUCACACUUGUACGCAUGUUGUAUUUCUUCAAGUGUACACAAGUAAUGUUUGUAAAUGUACAGAUACCUACUAUACCCUCCCCCCAUAUGUUCACAUUCUCUGACCUCUCCUCUGACUGUCACCCCUUUGUGUAUAUACAUAUAAGAAUUGCUGAAAUGUGAUUCAGUUGUUUUUCUAACAUUCCAAGAAUAAUUUUAAAAAUCUCUCUAGAUUUUAUGGACAUAAUAAGGGGGGGUCUAUUAUAAUGAAAAAUUUACUGGGUAAAAGUCCUACCUCCAAAGCAUUGCAUAUCCACUUUUGUCUUUGGUCGGUUAAGAGGCAGAAGAUUGCAGCUGUUAAGGGCAAUACCUCAUCAAUUUCUCAUAGUUAUAGAUAUCAGAUAAUUGUGAUAUUAGUUCUGUAGAUCCUGAUGUAACUAAUGAAGUAAGCUGAAUAGUAUGGCAGCUCAGAGAGUUUCAUAGGUACUAUUGUUUGAAACUAGUUUCUCUAUUGCCCUACCAGAGGGUUUAUGUGAUUAGUAAUCUGUGAGGUGCAGUAUUUUUUUUAACAUUAUUUCUUAUAGUAAAGGAUAAUUAAUUUGACUUCUGGGUAUUAUGUAUUUUAAAAGAGAGCUUCAUUUACUCCUAAUUUUCCCCAAGGGAAGGCAAAUUUUUUCAUGUUCAAAUGAAAAGCAUAGGUGUUUAUCAAAUAAUUGAAUUCAAAGUAUUUACAGGUAAUGUUUAUGAUCCAGUUGUUCAUUUAGACCUGUCAUGCAUACUUCAAUUUUAUCUCGUAAACAGGCAAGAUGGAGUACUAUGACACAGAGGUAAGAGGUGGUGCUUAAGAAAUUUAAAGGCUUGGUUAGGUCAGAUCCAAGGUUGUCAAGUCAAGUCAGCCAGUUCAAUUUUUGUUCAUCUUUUUAUUGAUAUACACAAAUAGAGAGGUUUAGAAUAGAAUUUCAUUUUGGCCUUUUGUGUAAAAUAAUUUGAGUAUGUAAACAUCCAGGUAUAAAAGACUAUGUAUGAAAGUGUGAUUACAAUCCAGGACACAAAGAUGAUGUAAAUAUACAUUGAGUGUAUGUGACACUAGAUGUAUCCUAAACUCACAAAAUGCCAUCAAAACAAUAUAUUUUCACCAGUUACAGUAUAGGUAAUGGUCUCGUCAUAGAAAGAUGAAAAAUUCUCUUGUAAGAGGAAGCAAGUUAUCUUACUGAUGAGUCACAGAGGACUUCCAUAUUAAAGAUGUGUAUAUCAUGAUAGACCAGUCAAAGUGGGUUGCUCAAGGUACAGAAAACUGAUUGUUAGAUGUGUCAUCUCUUGAGAUCAUAGUGUAAGUUUUACACUAACAUCAUAAUGGUUGGGUCUUGUAUUUGUGACUUCAACACAUAAUGUCUUUGGAAUUAUGAUGAUAAUUGACUUAGAGUAAAGUGGAGGGAGUGUAUGCAUAUCUGGAUGUUGAUUAAGUCAGGAAAUAUUGCUAAAUUCCAUCUUAUACCUUUUAUUUAUUACAGUAUUGUGUAGGUUAGCCAGACGAUCUGUAAGAAGACCUAGGAAAACCUAGAUCAGAUUUACUUUAAGCAAGUUGGAGAGAUGAUUUACUAAAUUAUUCUAUUCAAGAAUAAUUUUAGUGAGGAUGUAUUAAGUUCUACAUUAUUACCUAGAUGAACUCCCUUAUUUUUUAAUGUUUGAAAACACCAGCCCGAGAAGAGUCUACUUAAGACUCAGAGGUCUGAAAAAACUAAGCCCUAUUAAUAAUAAUAAUAUUGUUUGAAACACUUAGAAAGUUCUACCAUGUAGUCUUAAAGGGCUAUCCCCUAUGAGUUGAUCUUGAGUGAAAGAUGACAAUGGGAGGGUGAGUUGGAAAACGGACAAUUGAUGGGAUGAAACAAAAAGGGAACUAACAAAAAAAUAAGACAAUACUACAAUGUAUUUGCAAGUGGAGGGGUCUGCAAAGAAAUCUUAAUACCAUCUGAUGCAUCACAUGGCACAGUGUCAAACAAAUUUCAAGAUCAGGAAAUAUCUCUGUGAGGCGUUUAGAAGUCAUUAUUGUACUUUUUUUAUUAUAUUGUUUACCAUUAGAAAAUUGAAUGGUAACCUGGAAAUUCCUGAGGUAUUGCUCCUUUUUAAUAGUUUUGUGUAAAUUUUAUGCAUUUUUGUUUGAUUCUGAUAAAUUAUGUUGAAGAGGAGUACUCUUGUCUAGUGCCUGAAAAUAUAUACAGUACAGUAAAAGAUGUUAGUUAGAAUUUUCGACUUCUACGCUACGUACUACAUUUUUAGGACAUUACAUGGAAAAAUGGACUCGUCAGUGCCAAUAUGUUAAGUAUUUUUAUUUAGUGUGAUCUUAAAAAGGUAUCUCUUAUAGCUCCUAUUUAUUUGACCAAGAUGCCUUUGAAACCUUUUUUUUUUUUUUUUUUUUUUUUUUUUUUGUUCAUUUAUUAUCUAGGCAUUAACUAAAGUAAAGGUAAUGUAGAUAUUUGUGUAUACAGUAUAUUUAUAAUAUUCACCUGUAGUUAUUGCACUUUGUAAUUAUAAAGGAUUACUUUAUUGCAGAAUGACAAAAUUAUGUAAAUCAAUCUCAAUCAUUUUACAUAUUUAAGGAAAAUCUGAAAAUUAAAGUGACCGAUGAAAACAACAUGAAAUGAGGUUCAUGAUCUCAUCAUUACUUAAAUUUCAUCUUAAUUUUAUUCUUAUUUUGAUUAGGCCCACAUAGCUGCAUGUAGAAGUACUGUGCAUUUCUUCUUUGUCUGUGUUGUCUCAAUUGUUUGUGAUUUGCAUGUCUGUGUAAGACUUCCGCCAGGUAAUAGGCUGUAUUCUCUAUCUAUUUCUAGAGCUUAGCAGAAGAUGAUGAAACCUUUGAAACUGUGUCAAAUGCUCCUCCUUUUCCCUGGCCCCCCUAUGUCCCUUGUACAUGCUAGUCAUCUACAUUACCACAACUUGUGUUUCAUGUCUUCUGCACCACUUUAAGACUCUGUAUCUUGACUUUAGUAGAUAAAGAAACAUUUCAUGUACUACUUUAAACAAAAGUUCAUCAUUAAAGUAUAGAGGAUCAUCUCAUUGUUUAUAGAAGCGAGUAGAUAUCUAUACAUAAAUAUAUUGCAGAUUUGUAGUCAACUCUGCUCCUUAAGGAAAACUGUUACGGAGUGAAAGAGGUGGAGUUUUGGGCAGAUUUCUAAUUGCACACAGUGUCCAGAGUGUAAUGUGAUUGUGUAAUAGUUGUUGAAGUGGAGUUACAAAACAUGAGGAAGUACCCAGCUGAUUUUGGGUAUUUUACGUUAGGUGAGAGAAGCACUGCUAAUUCACUUUUUUAUUUAUUCAGAGAUUCCUGUCUUUAUCAGUGCAUUCAUUCUCUUUUCAGCUAACAGUGUUUUGUAAAUCUAGCUCAUUUCUUUGGAAAUAACCACUUCUCUGUUGUUCUUCACUGUUUGUGGACUGACUGCCCUUUUUGCAUUUUUGAUGAAAAUGAAUGAUGUGCUUUAGGAAGACUUCUGUAUAGACAUUAUUGUUUGACUACGUAGUGUAUGAAAGUUAGUUUGCUCUUUCUUGUGUAGAAUUGAACGCUGGACAUGACAUUCUUUCAACCAUUUGACAUUAAAUAUGUGGUUUUGAAAACAACUUUCAAAAUCAAAACUAAACUGUUUCAGGACAGAAAUUUUAAGAGGUGGGUAUUCUAACAGAUUCUCGUAUAAUGUACUCUGGAGAUUUUCGCACUACAACGUACAUAUGUAUGAUUGAUUCCCAAAGUGCAAUACAGUACUUCUUUGGCAUGUGUUGCAGUACUGCAGUUCUUUUUAAGAGGUCUGACUGGUUUUCAUUUGUAACUUUGAUUUCAUUAGUAUGGUAACUAUCGAAGUAGCUUGUAAGUUCUGUAAUGUUUUUCUAUGGUAGGUAGGUUUAUUAUGAGAAGGGGAAAUGAAAAAUAAACCUUUAGCUGAAGUGAAUCUUUGUGAAUGAAGUUAAGGUUGAUAUACUCCUUCCUCAUUACUAAUUUGAUGUUCGGAGUUCAGCCAUCCAACUUUCUGUUAAGAAUUGUCUUGACAGUGCAAUGAUAAUGAUAUUGCAGUUUCUGUGCAUAUCCAUCCAUAAAGCUCCUCUUGUAUUCUGCAUCAGAGCAUUGCCUAGAAGGCCAGUUUGAACAAAUAAGGAAUAUUCCUCAAUCAGUUUAGAUCAGUUUGUUUCAGGAGUUCAUUUAUAAAUUUUACAUACCGUUGUAAUAUUUUCAUCAUGCCCUCAAAUAUGUGUUACUGAGGUUAGUAAAGCAGGAUUACUGGUUUUGUUGUUUUAGAAAAGUAUUAAUUUUUUUAUCCUUAGUCUUCUGCUCAAAUAGUGGGAACCGUUUCAUAAUUAGAUUUUUUAAUUGUUAUUUAAACAAAGUAAAAUUUUUAAAUGUGUAGAUUUGUGCAAUGAAUGGAAGUUGGUUUUAGAUAUCCAAAUCAAACUCAGAAUGACAAGAAAAAAAUUUAAUGAGAAUAUAAGGGUAUCAAGUUCAAAACCCUGUGACUUUGGUUUAUUGUAUUGAAGUUAAGGCCACCUAUACAAUUUUGGAAGGAAUGUAAAAGUGUGCCAUAAAUUUCUGCCUAACAAAAGUAUUUUAUGAUUGAGGUUGUAAUAUCUUGUGAAGUGUACGUUUUCAUGUUUAGUAGUUUUUAUUUUUUCCUUUUCUUUUUAUCUUUAUAUUUAUGAUGGUUAUACGUGUUUGUUAGGUGGUCAUAUUUGUGUAUUGUAUUGUCCAUACCAUUCUGUGUGCUAUGUCCUGCUAUAUUAACCUCUUUUUAUCUAGUUUAGGACAAAAAUGAAAAGUUAUAAUGUAUAGCCUGUCUGUAGGCCAUGUAUAUAGUAAAGUUGACUGUUGAAGAUGACUAUACCUUAUAUGCAUGUAAGGAACUUAGAGAAUAUAAUUCCCACCAUUUCA